AUGACUGAAAGCUUUUGCAGAUGGCAAGUCAUCGUUUGAAAGUUUCAGCUGAGUUAAGAAAGCUAAGGUCAUAAGGCAAAUCACAGUGAAGAGUUUGCAAUUAGAACCACUCUGUAAUCAGCUCAUUGCAUAUUUUGCAGAGCGAAUGAUAUCUGUCUGCACAAGAGAAAUGGCAUAAUGCAAAAAAAGAGUGGUGAUGAG
Hibiscus syriacus is the source of this 201-nucleotide long non-coding RNA. RefSeq lists it as uncharacterized. The record is from RefSeq and is a predicted model, not a curated record. The transcript is spliced from 3 exons. NCBI's taxonomy places the organism in Eukaryota, Viridiplantae, Streptophyta, Magnoliopsida, Malvales, Malvaceae.